AGCGAACGCUGGCGGCAGGCCUAACACAUGCAAGUCGAGCGGCCGUAGCAAUACGGCAGCGGCAGACGGGAGAGUAACACGUGGGAACGCGCCCUUCGGUUCGGAAUAACUCAGGGAAACUUGAGCUAAUACCGGAUACGCCCUAACGGGGAAAGAUUUAUCGCCGAAGGAACGGCCCGCGUCGGAUUAGCUAGUUGGUGAGGUAAUGGCUCACCAAGGCAACGAUCCGUAGCUGGUCUAAGAGGAUGAUCAGCCUCACUGGGACUGAGACACGGCCCAGACACCUACGGGUGGCUG
This 297-nucleotide ribosomal RNA is filed under the name uncultured Pseudomonadota bacterium. Its description in RNAcentral is "uncultured proteobacterium partial 16S ribosomal RNA". It matches the Rfam family "Bacterial small subunit ribosomal RNA", at positions 29 to 351 of the family's 1533-position model. The record is from RNAcentral. Lineage: Bacteria; Pseudomonadati; Pseudomonadota.